Molecule: long non-coding RNA, 341 nt
Filed under: Sorghum bicolor (sorghum)
Lineage: Eukaryota; Viridiplantae; Streptophyta; Magnoliopsida; Poales; Poaceae
Description: long non-coding RNA (SBIC_LNC007555)
Source: RNAcentral
AAUAGUUCUUCAACAACUUCAAUUUUGACAAACUUCUUUCGGCCGAAGCUACAGUCACUGGUACAGUUAAAAGAAUUCGAUAGGCAACUAAAACAUUUGGAUAGCAAUCUGCAUUCAUAAUAAACUUAAGAAUCUCAGGCGAUGACAUCAUAGAAUCUGGCAAAGCCACAUGCAACACCUUUAAUUCUUGGGAAAAAAAGUCAUUGAUCUCAACAGUACGUGACGGCCGUGGUAGGCCUUCAAGGUGUAGCACAGGACGUACGAACUGGCCGGAGGCAGAGGACGGUAGCGCCGCCGGAAUCCUCUCCGGAUUCCGAUUGCCCGAAGUGGAAAGGACGCCC